This 1288-nucleotide ribosomal RNA is filed under the name Salmonella enterica. Its description in RNAcentral is "partial 23S ribosomal RNA". It matches the Rfam family "Bacterial large subunit ribosomal RNA", at positions 711 to 1895 of the family's 2925-position model. Lineage: Bacteria; Pseudomonadati; Pseudomonadota; Gammaproteobacteria; Enterobacterales; Enterobacteriaceae. The record is from RNAcentral.
AGACCCGAAACCCGGUGAUCUAGCCAUGGGCAGGUUGAAGGUUGGGUAACACUAACUGGAGGACCGAACCGACUAAUGUUGAAAAAUUAGCGGAUGACCUGUGGCUGGGGGUGAAAGGCCAAUCAAACCGGGAGAUAGCUGGUUCUCCCCGAAAGCUAUUUAGGUAGCGCCUCGUGAAUUCAUCUCCGGGGGUAGAGCACUGUUUCGGCUAGGGGGCCAUCCCGGCUUACCAACCCGAUGCAAACUGCGAAUACCGGAGAAUGUUAUCACGGGAGACACACGGCGGGUGCUAACGUCCGUCGUGAAGAGGGAAACAACCCAGACCGCCAGCUAAGGUCCCAAAGUCAUGGUUAAGUGGGAAACGAUGUGGGAAGGCCCAGACAGCCAGGAUGUUGGCUUAGAAGCAGCCAUCAUUUAAAGAAAGCGUAAUAGCUCACUGGUCGAGUCGGCCUGCGCGGAAGAUGUAACGGGGCUAAACCAUGCACCGAAGCUGCGGCAGCGAACGUAUCACCCAAGACAACUUUACGGAGUUGACGAUUGACGGAGCGAAGCGACGUCAAAGCGUUCAUUAAAGUCGAGUUGGCUUAGGGAUACGUUCGUUGGGUAGGGGAGCGUUCUGUAAGCCCGUGAAGGUGGCCUGUGAGGGUUGCUGGAGGUAUCAGAAGUGCGAAUGCUGACAUAAGUAACGAUAAAGCGGGUGAAAAGCCCGCUCGCCGGAAGACCAAGGGUUCCUGUCCAACGUUAAUCGGGGCAGGGUGAGUCGACCCCUAAGGCGAGGCCGAAAGGCGUAGUCGAUGGGAAACGGGUUAAUAUUCCCGUACUUGGUGUUACUGCGAAGGGGGGACGGAGAAGGCUAUGUUGGCCGGGCGACGGUUGUCCCGGUUUAAGCGUGUAGGUGUGUGUUCCAGGUAAAUCCGGUUCACUUUAACACUGAGGCGUGACGACGAGGCACUACGGUGCUGAAGCAACAAAUGCCCUGCUUCCAGGAAAAGCCUCUAAGCAUCAGGUAACACGAAAUCGUACCCCAAACCGACACAGGUGGUCAGGUAGAGAAUACCAAGGCGCUUGAGAGAACUCGGGUGAAGGAACUAGGCAAAAUGGUGCCGUAACUUCGGGAGAAGGCACGCUGACACGUAGGUGAAGUGAUUUACUCAUGGAGCUGAAGUCAGUCGAAGAUACCAGCUGGCUGCAACUGUUUAUUAAAAACACAGCACUGUGCAAACACGAAAGUGGACGUAUACGGUGUGACGCCUGCCCGGUGCCGGAAGGUUAAUUGAUGGGGUCAGCG